UACAGAGGGUGCAAGCGUUGCUCGGAUUUACUGGGCGUAAAGCGUACGCAGACGGCGAGAAGGGUCGGACGUGAAAGCCCCGGGCUCAACCCGGGAAAUGCGUCCGAAACCGCCUUGCUUGAGUAUGGGAGAGGGAAGCGGAAUUCCUAGUGUAGAGGUGAAAUUCGUAGAUAUUAGGAAGAACACCGGUGGCGAAGGCGGCCCACUGGUCCGGUACUGACGCUGAGGUGCGAAAGCGUGGGGAGCAAACAGG
Molecule: ribosomal RNA, 253 nt
Filed under: uncultured bacterium
Lineage: Bacteria
Description: partial 16S ribosomal RNA
Rfam family: Bacterial small subunit ribosomal RNA
Source: RNAcentral